AGGGUAGUGGGGGUGCAAAGGUUGCUGGUGAGGUGCAAACGAGUAUAAAAGAAAAAGUUUAAAAAUUUAAAGAUGGGGGACCAACUUCACACCGGUAUCGGCGGCAUGCGAAAAGUUUUCUGCCAAUGCAAGCUACGAUUAUUCCUAAGAAACAACAUAAAGAGUAUUCCACGUUUCUCCAUUAUUCGACUUAUGCGGAAUUGCCAUCAGAGUGGUGGCCGUCUUAACGAGGCGAGAGGGUUUAUCGGCUGUCACUAUAUCUGUUUCUGUUUGCAGCAAGGUCCAUAUGUUUAUGGUGAUGGGGAUUAACUAAGUGGCUUCUAGAGGCUGAC
Molecule: long non-coding RNA, 332 nt
Filed under: Androctonus crassicauda
Lineage: Eukaryota; Metazoa; Arthropoda; Arachnida; Scorpiones; Buthidae
Source: RNAcentral